This 494-nucleotide ribosomal RNA is filed under the name uncultured bacterium. RNAcentral describes it as "partial 16S ribosomal RNA". It matches the Rfam family "Bacterial small subunit ribosomal RNA", at positions 29 to 507 of the family's 1533-position model. The record is from RNAcentral.
AGUGAACGCUGGCGGUAGGCUUUACACAUGCAAGUCGAACGGCAGCAGGGUGGGGGUUGCUUCUCUGGGGGCGCGUGUCGCACGCGUGUGUGAUAUACCUGGACGUGUCGUUUUUAGUGGGGGAACCAGCCGGAAAACUUACGAUUAUAGCACAAAUGCCCAGGGGGUAAACUCAGGAGCUAGUAAGAGCCCUCGCGCUUUUUUAGCCCCCGAUGUCGGAUUAGCUAGUUGGGGGGGUAAAGGCUCACCAAGGCGAAGAUCUGUAGCGGGUCUGAGAGGAUGAUCAGCCACACUGGAACUGAGACACGGUCCAGACUCCUACGGGAGGCAGCAGUGGGGAAUAUUGGACAAUGGGGGCAAGCCUGAUCCAGCCAUGCCGCGUGUGUGAAGAAGGCCUUCGGGUUGUAAAGUACUUUUGUUGGGAAAGAAAAGCCGGAUGUGAAUAACGGGCGGUUCUGACGGUACCUAAAGAAUAAGCACCGGCUAACUUCGUG